UCGGGCUUCAUUGCAGCCGCCCGACCUCCACAAGACGCUUCGUCCAAGCGCUGC
Molecule: non-coding RNA, 54 nt
Filed under: unclassified sequences
Description: chromate-resist RNA
Rfam family: chrB-b RNA
Source: RNAcentral